Phascolarctos cinereus (koala) is the source of this 675-nucleotide non-coding RNA. Lineage: Eukaryota; Metazoa; Chordata; Mammalia; Diprotodontia; Phascolarctidae. The record is from RefSeq and is a predicted model, not a curated record.
ACUAUACUGACUGAUAGGAUUUUGCUUUGAAUUAAGUUUUCUUCUAAUUGGUCCCAUAAAAGAAACACAUCCUGGUGAGGAAUAUCCCUCCACCAAGGCAGAUGGACACCUUCUCAGUAUCUUAGUCUUAGAUAGCUGCUUAGAGCAUUGAGAGGGUUAAGUAUGUGUAACAGAGAAUGACAUGACAAUGCUAGUAGGCAAAGUAUCCUCUGGAGCAGUUUAUAUAGCACCCCUGACAGCUCAUGGCAUUGGUGAUAGCAUCAUUUCUAGGACACGAUGAUUCAGGGACCGUAUCACCUUUGUUAUACUUGCAACUUGGCAUAGCAGCUCUUGAAGACAAUCCAUUGAAUUAUGGAGCAGUUGUAAAAUGAGUCAGCAGAGGGAAUCUACCCACAAAAUGGCAGAUCCCUGGAUUACUUUUGCAUUUGUCUUCUUGGACAAGAUCAAGUAAGAUCACUAACGGUAUCUCAGCAGUUGCACCUGUCAAGUCAUUCAGUAGAUAGCACAGUGGAUAGAACGCUGGGCCUGGAGUCCAGAAGAAUUCCAUUCAAACCACCUGAACAUCCCUCAAAAAUGGGUAGCUCUCAGAUUCAGGACUUUGACAAAGUGUGAAAUGCUGCAGAUCAUUACUGAGAGCUUCAGUGGAUGAGAGAGAAGGAAUUCUCAUUUGUGAAU